This is a long non-coding RNA of Oreochromis niloticus (Nile tilapia), 595 nucleotides long. RefSeq lists it as uncharacterized. NCBI's taxonomy places the organism in Eukaryota, Metazoa, Chordata, Actinopteri, Cichliformes, Cichlidae. The record is from RefSeq and is a predicted model, not a curated record. The transcript has 2 exons.
CACAGAGGAGUUAAAGCGUACACCUGUGAUCAGUGUGGCAGAGCUUUUACUCACAGUAACAGCUUACAGAGUCAUCUAGUUACCCACUCUGGAAUUAAGGCGUACAGCUGUGAUCAGUGUGGUAAACAGUUUACUACAAACACAGAGUUACGACGUCACAUGUUUACCCACACUGAGGAACGACCUUAUAAAUGUGACCUGUGUGAGAAGACUUUUAAAUCUCCACGUUACCUGAAAGCACACCAACAGAUCCACACCAGAAAGACUCUACAAGUGCAGUUACUGUGAGAAGCAGAGCGACACAGAUGGAUCAAGUUCUCAACCCUGUCAUCGCUGUGGGAAAGACUUUUGUUGUGACCUUUGUGGAAAAACUUUAAGUCAUUGAAGGACUCUGAAAAUACAUCAACGUAGACACACUGGAGACAAAAUGAACUACUGUAAAGAAUGCGGGAGAGGCUUCACCACUUCAAAGGACUUCAAACAAUAUGAACUCCUUCACAGUGGCGUUAAAAAGCAUGUCUGCGAUCAGUGUGGGUCAUCCUUCAUCAGUGCACGUCAGCUUGAAAAGCAUAAACGAGUCCACACAUGAGAGAAA